GACUUAGCUAACUAACAGUGCCGCAUGCUCUGUUCACUUUUGGCAAAUAAAAGUUUAUGUUCAAGACGUUAAUUUGCCUGGUCAGUCUCUAUAUUAUGAUUAAGAGACCAUUGAGAGCAGAAGAGGAGACUAACGCUGGAAGAUCAUCGACUGGAUCACAGAAAACCAACACAACCACGAGUUAGCAGCUAGCUUCAAAUGGCGAGGCCUUCCUACGGUUAUCACGACGCUGUGACUAUCGACACUUUAAGGAACCAUGCCGGCUGCCUUAAGAGUUGUUAAAUCACUGAAUCCUCCAUCUGAUCAGUUGGUUGAGUGUGUGCCUGCAGUUGAUAUACAUCAGCCUGAUCCUUAUCCAGAGGAGAAGCAGAAUGACAUCAUUCACAGUAUCAAACAGCUGAAUGACAAAGUUGAUGCACUGCAUCCUUUGACCGUCCCUGAAAGUGACGGUUCCCAGACAUACCAGGAGAGAGAACAAUGUGGACCCUGCUGAGACGAUUAUCCGAAGAAUGGCCAGCUAAACCAGAAGUGUGGGCUUGAACCAAUUCCAAGCAGUGCCUGGAAGUAAUGGGGCUUCCAGUAAAGUCACUCGAAGAACUCAAAAGUGCUAAUGACAGACCUGAUGGUGAGGACAAGGGAA
Thalassophryne amazonica is the source of this 640-nucleotide long non-coding RNA. RefSeq lists it as uncharacterized. The record is from RefSeq and is a predicted model, not a curated record. Lineage: Eukaryota; Metazoa; Chordata; Actinopteri; Batrachoidiformes; Batrachoididae. The transcript has 4 exons.